GUGAAUGUGGCUUAGUGGUAGAGUGCUUGCUUAGCAUGCAUGAAGCCCUGGGUUCAAUUCCUCAGUACCACA
RNAcentral lists this transfer RNA (72 nucleotides) under Dipodomys ordii (Ord's kangaroo rat). It matches the Rfam family "tRNA". From Rfam's summary of the family: Transfer RNA (tRNA) molecules are approximately 80 nucleotides in length. Lineage: Eukaryota; Metazoa; Chordata; Mammalia; Rodentia; Heteromyidae. The record is from Rfam by way of RNAcentral.